Molecule: ribosomal RNA, 733 nt
Filed under: Acinetobacter sp.
Lineage: Bacteria; Pseudomonadati; Pseudomonadota; Gammaproteobacteria; Moraxellales; Moraxellaceae
Description: bacterial SSU rRNA
Rfam family: Bacterial small subunit ribosomal RNA
Source: RNAcentral
CUCAGAUUGAACGCUGGCGGCAGGCUUAACACAUGCAAGUCGAGCGGAGAUGAGGUGCUUGCACCUUAUCUUAGCGGCGGACGGGUGAGUAAUGCUUAGGAAUCUGCCUAUUAGUGGGGGACAACAUUCCGAAAGGAAUGCUAAUACCGCAUACGUCCUACGGGAGAAAGCAGGGGAUCUUCGGACCUUGCGCUAAUAGAUGAGCCUAAGUCGGAUUAGCUAGUUGGUGGGGUAAAGGCCUACCAAGGCGACGAUCUGUAGCGGGUCUGAGAGGAUGAUCCGCCACACUGGGACUGAGACACGGCCCAGACUCCUACGGGAGGCAGCAGUGGGGAAUAUUGGACAAUGGGGGGAACCCUGAUCCAGCCAUGCCGCGUGUGUGAAGAAGGCCUUAUGGUUGUAAAGCACUUUAAGCGAGGAGGAGGCUACUGAGACUAAUACUCUUGGAUAGUGGACGUUACUCGCAGAAUAAGCACCGGCUAACUCUGUGCCAGCAGCCGCGGUAAUACAGAGGGUGCGAGCGUUAAUCGGAUUUACUGGGCGUAAAGCGUGCGUAGGCGGCUUUUUAAGUCGGAUGUGAAAUCCCCGAGCUUAACUUGGGAAUUGCAUUCGAUACUGGGAAGCUAGAGUAUGGGAGAGGAUGGUAGAAUUCCAGGUGUAGCGGUGAAAUGCGUAGAGAUCUGGAGGAAUACCGAUGGCGAAGGCAGCCAUCUGGCCUAAUACUGACGCUGAG